CAGCGCCAGUUGCCGUUGGAGGGUCAGAAUUAGAGCAACGGUUGAUGAGCUCUCUGUUUUCUGAAACAAAGUGCUGUAUUUGUGCGCUGGCAAUACAAAUUCGUUUAAUUGUGUAGUAUUUUGCGUUGUGCUUCUUAACAAUACAACCCAGAUCAACGAAACGCGGUAAAGGGACUCCUCUCAGCGUGAACCAACCAGGGUUCUAUGACUCUGUCUAUACGUACCUCAGUGCGACCUGUUAAGUGUCAGAAAUUUGCCAUGCCUACCAAACAAAUUGUUAGCAGUUUCUUGUUGCUGAUUCAUUUCAGUCAUGGGUUUUAUAUUCCUUGGUUGGCUCCCGUUAAUUAUUGCACGAAAGAUAAACAGAGCGACACAUGCAAAAAUGAUGUAUCAGUUUUUGUUAAUCGGCUCAACUCAGAGGAAGCUAUCAUUCCUUAUGAAUACCAUCACUUUGACUUCUGCACUGACGACCAUGAAACAGGACCAGUGGAAAACUUAGGCCAAGUUGUUUUUGGAGAAAGAAUUCGAUCAAGUCCCUACAAGUUGGAGUUCAAGAACAAUCAGGAAUGGGAUUAUACCUGUAAGAAGUCAUACCAACCAGGCAACCAGGAAGAUCUAAAAAAAAUUAAAGAAUUAAUUCAUGGGAUAUCAUUAAAUUAUCAACAUCAUUGGAUUGUUGACAAUAUGCCUGUGACAUGGUGUUAUCAAGGAGAACCUGGCCAGCAGUUCUGCAGUACUGGUUUCCCAAUGGGCUGUUAUCUUCCAAAAUCAGGCAAACCCAAAGAUGCCUGUGUGAUGAAUCCUGCCUUCAACAAACCGGAUACGUAUUACAUUUUUAACCAUAUUGAUCUCACCAUUAUCUAUCACGGUGGCAAGGGAGAAACAUGGAGUACCGAGUUGGAUGACGAUAUUGGGCGAAUUCUAAGUGUGAAAGUGGGACUGCGUUCGCUUAGUGUGGAAAAGGAUCCUACGUCACCUCCUAUGAUCGUGCCUAAAGAGCUGAAGGAGCCCCUCACAAUCACGUACACCUAUUCCGUCAAGUUCAUUGAUGAUCCUUUUACCAAAUGGUCAUCUAGGUGGGAUUUUUUACUUGAAUCGAUGCCGAGUGCUCAGUGGUUUUCCAUUUUGAAUGCAUUGGUUAUUGUUCUUCUCCUGUCUGGCAUGGUGGCUAUGUUCUUACUCCGACCACUGCACAAAGAUAUUGCUCGCUAUAAUCAGAUUGAUUCUGGCAAAGAUGCACAAGAAGAAUUUGGAUGGAAAUUAGUUCAUGGUGAUAUAUUCCGCCCACCACGAAAGGGCAUGUUACUCUCAGUGUUUGUGGGAUCGGGUGUUCAGGUUUUCAUAAUGACCUUGAUCACCUUAAUUUUUGCUUGUUUGGGAUUCCUGUCACCAGCCAACCGUGGUGCAUUAAUGACAUGCGCUUUGGUUUUCUACGUGUGCUUGGGUACGCCAGCCGGAUAUGUUUCAUCCCGUAUCUACAAAUCUUUCGGUGGCGAAAGAUGGAAGUUGAACGUUCUUCUUACUUCCAUGCUAUGUCCAGGGAUUGUCUUUGGAGUCUUUUUUGUUUUGAAUUUGGUUCUUUGGAGCAAAGGUAGCUCGGGUGCUAUCUCUUUCGGCAUUUUAGCGGUAUUGUUAGCCCUAUGGUUUGGCAUCUCAGUUCCACUUACAUUCGUCGGCGCAUUUUUCGGCUUCCGCAAAAGACCCAUCGAACACCCUGUUCGGACGAAUCAGAUUCACCGACAGGUUCCUGAUCAAAGUGUUUACACACGUCCGGCUUCGGGCAUCGUCAUGGGUGGCGUUUUGCCAUUCGGUUGCAUCUUUAUCCAGCUGUUCUUUAUUCUCAACUCAUUGUGGUCCAACCAAAUGUAUUACAUGUUUGGAUUUCAUUUCUUAGUCUUCAUCAUCUUGGUGAUCACGUGUUCUGAAACGACAGUUCUACUUUGUUACUUCCAUCUGUGUGCUGAGGAUUACCACUGGUGGUGGCGCAGCUUUUUAACAAGCGGUUUUACAGCCUUUUAUUUGUUUAUGUAUUGCGUCCAUUACUUCGUCACAAAAUUAGAAAUUCAAGAUGCCACAUCCACCUUCCUUUACUUUGGAUACACCUUCAUCAUGGUUUUCUUGUUCUUUCUUCUUUCAGGGACUAUCGGUUUCUUUGCUUGCUUUUGGUUUGUCCGCAAAAUUUAUUCAGUGGUUAAAGUGGUUUAGUGUUUUGUUACGUGAAUGCUGGCCAUUCUUAGCAAGCAAGCAUAAAUAAAGCUCAUGCACACCAGUAUUCAUUAUCUUCAUGAUGAUUUGAUGACUUGUAAUAAGAGAAAUAUUAUAAUACAUGUAAAAUUUUGUAUUUGUUAAA
This is an RNA transcript of Daphnia magna, 2350 nucleotides long. It is a transcript of the gene named transmembrane 9 superfamily member 2, with no coding region annotated. The record is from RefSeq and is a predicted model, not a curated record. Lineage: Eukaryota; Metazoa; Arthropoda; Branchiopoda; Diplostraca; Daphniidae. The transcript has 15 exons.